GUAGGGCUCCCUCGGGACUGUCAGCAGCACAAGUUCGGGGUGGUGGCAGGUUGUAUCUGGGAUAUAUCCUGCGCCAUUCGGAUUUUUGCAGCCACAGGCCCCUGAACACAAACACUGGCCCUUUUCCCUGGGAAAGAAAACUCCCCAGCCCAGGUUCCUGGUGUCAGUUUGUAGGGCUCCCUUGGGACUGUCAGGGCACCACAAGUUCGAGGUGGUGGCAGGUUGCAUCUGGGACACAUCCUGCACCCUUUGGAAUUUCAGGAGGUGGCCAUGAUCAUCCGCAUGUCUGGGGAUCUGUUUCUUCUAGUUCAGUGCAGUGGGAGAGCAGCCUGGGUUUCUGCAGCAAGCCCUGCCAGGAAAGCAUCGUGUCAUCCCACCAGAUGGGAAGAACAUUAGAACAUUGCUGCAUGCAAAACAACUGAUCUUGUUGCAACUAGGUCAGGCACAGGUGUUAUCCCAGAGCUGGCACACACCAUGGUCCCAGGUAGGCACCUCUGUGCCCUUGCAUGCCACUCAGAUGAAUCACAAAUCCUCUGUGUGCUGUUCACCUGAUAGCUGGAGAAGCCCAGAGCACUGGAUACAUCAGUUGCUUGACCUAAUUAACACUGCAGAAAAAGAGGGGAUGGUAUUUUGAUUCCUCCUGUUCUGACCUAGAAGAAAACCACAUAAACACUGCAUCUGGUAAGCAAAAAUGAACAAACCUAUCUCGCCUCCCCAAAACCAGACAAAUGUUUCCUGAAUUAAAUUAUUUAGUGAGUGGGUUAAAUCAGGACUUGACCUACAUGAUUUAUUUCCCAUGUAUGUGUUUGAAUCAGAAUUUCCAGUAGCUAAACUCUGAUUAACCCCACCGCCCAGUGCUCCUUCUUCCCUCUUUUAAUUCCCUGGCAAUGUUGGUGAUUUUUUUUUUUUUUUUUUUUUUUAUUCACAACCCAAAUAUAAGUGAGGCUUUUGACAUCCCUGAACUGUGAACAGUGACUGUGGGGACUCACAUUAACAUUACAGAGCUGCGUCCCUCUCCAUAAUUUCACUGUCAGGGUGGCUCUGCUGACAAGUGCGUACAAAAUGGAGAACAGAGAAAACACAUGAAACAGGGAAGUGGCAAAGGAACAGGGAAAAAGUCAUGAGGAAGCAAGGCAGACAUUUUUCUUAAACAAUGAGCUGGAGGAAGAAAUAAAAGAUAUUUUCUUAUUAAA
This is a non-coding RNA of Taeniopygia guttata (zebra finch), 1193 nucleotides long. The record is from RefSeq and is a predicted model, not a curated record. NCBI's taxonomy places the organism in Eukaryota, Metazoa, Chordata, Aves, Passeriformes, Estrildidae.